GAGGGAGAAGCCUUCGGGCUGAAACCGGCGCACGGGUGCGUAACGCGUAUACAAUCUGCCUUUCACAUAGGGAUAGCCCGAAGAAAUUUGGAUUAAUACCUAAUGGUAUAUAAGAGCGGCAUCGUUUUUAUAUUAAAGCUACGGUGGUGAAAGAUGAGUAUGUGUUCUAUUAGCUAGUUGGAGAGGUAACGGCUCCCCAAGGCGACGAUAGAUAGGGGUUCUGAGAGGGAUAUCCCCCACACUGGUACUGAGAUACGGACCAGACUC
Molecule: ribosomal RNA, 267 nt
Filed under: uncultured bacterium
Lineage: Bacteria
Description: partial 16S ribosomal RNA
Rfam family: Bacterial small subunit ribosomal RNA
Source: RNAcentral